UACGAAGGGGGCUAGCGUUGUUCGGAUUUACUGGGCGUAAAGCGCACGUAGGCGGUUUGUUAAGUGAGAGGUGAAAUCCCAGAGCUCAACUCUGGAACUGCCUUUCAUACUGGCAAGCUAGAGUCCGGAAGAGGUAAGUGGAACUCCUAGUGUAGAGGUGGAAUUCGUAGAUAUUAGGAAGAACACCAGUGGCGAAAGGCGGCUUA
RNAcentral lists this ribosomal RNA (206 nucleotides) under uncultured bacterium. Its description in RNAcentral is "partial 16S ribosomal RNA". It matches the Rfam family "Bacterial small subunit ribosomal RNA", at positions 524 to 728 of the family's 1533-position model. The record is from RNAcentral.